UACGGGGGGGGCAAGCGUUGUUCGGAAUUACUGGGCGUAAAGGGCUCGUAGGCGGCCAACUAAGUCAGACGUGAAAUCCCUCGGCUUAACCGGGGAACUGCCUCUGAUACUGGAUGGCUUGAGAUUGGGAGAGGGAUGCGGAAUUCCAGGUGUAGCGGUGAAAUGCGUAGAUAUCUGGAGGAGCACCGGUGGCGAAGGCGGCAUCCUGGACCAACACUGACGCUGAGGAGCGAAAGCCAGGGGAGCAAACGGG
Molecule: ribosomal RNA, 253 nt
Filed under: uncultured bacterium
Lineage: Bacteria
Description: partial 16S ribosomal RNA
Rfam family: Bacterial small subunit ribosomal RNA
Source: RNAcentral